RNAcentral lists this ribosomal RNA (444 nucleotides) under uncultured bacterium. RNAcentral describes it as "partial 16S ribosomal RNA". It matches the Rfam family "Bacterial small subunit ribosomal RNA", at positions 339 to 795 of the family's 1533-position model. The record is from RNAcentral.
CUACGGGACGCAGCAGUGGGGAAUAUUGCACAAUGGGCGCAAGCCUAAUGCAGCAACGCCGCGUGAGGGAUGAAGGCCUUCGGGUUGUAAACCUCUUUUAGCAGGGAAGAAGCGAAAGUGACGGUACCUGCAGAAAAAGCACCGGCUAACUACGUGCCAGCAGCCGCGGUAAUACGUAGGGUGCAAGCGUUGUCCGGAAUUAUUGGGCGUAAAGAGCUCGUAGGCGGUUUGUCACGUCUGCUGUGAAAAUCCAAGGCUCAACCUUGGACUUGCAGUGGGUACGGGCAGGCUAGAGUGCGGUAGGGGAGAUGGGAAUUCCUGGUGUAGCGGUGGAAUGCACAGAUAUCAGGAGGAACACCAAUGGCGAAGGCACAUCUCUGGGCCGUAACUGACGCUGAGGAGCGAAAGCGUGGGGAGCGAACAGGAUUAGAUACCCCGGUAGUC